Molecule: long non-coding RNA, 972 nt
Organism: Acanthopagrus latus (yellowfin seabream)
Lineage: Eukaryota; Metazoa; Chordata; Actinopteri; Spariformes; Sparidae
Exons: 4
Source: RefSeq, a predicted model, not a curated record
GUUAAACUAAAUUAACCUGCGCCAUUAGCACUGGGUCGGAAAGUUAACGCAACCAUUUUAGUUCAGUUAAAACGACACAGUGUCACGACGGUCUGCACGUCUUACCUUUGUUGAAGGAUCCAUCUGGAGUUAUACGGACGGCAUCCUCGGUGGUUCCAAUUUCCAGCCCAUUCCCCAAUUUUCAACCCCAAUGACAGACAACACACGCUUGAACGGCUGUUUCAGCUAAAGAAGGGAAUUGUGCGGCUGACAGUGGGGCGUUGGCGUCUGUGGAGGCUGAAAGAUGGCAGGCCUUAAUGAACCUUGGUCUGACCUUUGACCUCCUUCCCCCGACGACAUCACCAGCUGAGGGGUUCCACAGAGGGUCCACUUGUGUGGAGGUGCAGCUGUAAGCGCUGAUGGUUACAAUGAAAAGGAGGAGAAGGAGGAAGAGCUGGAGACAGAGGGAACGAUAGAUAGAGAGAAGGAGGGGUAGAGAGACAGUCAGCCAGACAGAGAGGUGGUUUCGGUCUACCAGGAACACACAGCUCUCGCCGCCAGCAGUCUGUCAGUGGUGGUCCCCUCAUCCAGUCUGCUGCAGCAUCUGCCAGAGAGGCACCAGGCUGAGCGAGACCCAGAUCCUCAAGACCAGAGCCCCAUCAACUGACUUCUCCUCCAGGCCCAGCUGUCUUCUUCUGCUCUUCCCGCCCCACUCCUCUCUGUCUUCACACCAAAACCAUGUUAGUAACCCUGAAUCAGGACCCCCGGGCCUCUAUCUAUUCUUUCCAUACAGCCCCGGCCUGCCUCCAGCCCCAGCCCCUCAUUUUCCUCCACUGCAGAACCAACAUCAGCUCUCCAGACCUCCCCACCUUAUAUCUCCCCUCCGGCCUCUUCCCAUCCAAAUGCCAUUGCACUGCACCACACAUUCACACAGGAGUGCACAGUGCUAAAGCAAUGAUCGAGGGUCUAUAGGUAAACAUGUGUUUUUAACUA